Molecule: small RNA, 144 nt
Filed under: uncultured Bulleidia sp.
Lineage: Bacteria; Bacillati; Bacillota; Erysipelotrichia; Erysipelotrichales; Erysipelotrichaceae
Description: HNH endonuclease-associated RNA and ORF (HEARO) RNA
Rfam family: HNH endonuclease-associated RNA and ORF (HEARO) RNA
Source: RNAcentral
GUCAAUAACCCGCGAUUGAAAUCGCAGGCUUGAAAAAGCCUUUGUUGACUAGCCUUAGUAUUCUUGUAUUACCGUAUACGCUAAGAAUACUACGUUAUCUUUGUCAUCACACCACCGGACGUAACACCAAAUCCUGUGCUCUGU